CCAAUGUAGAUGGUCUAACAAUA
Molecule: non-coding RNA, 23 nt
Filed under: Arabidopsis thaliana (thale cress)
Lineage: Eukaryota; Viridiplantae; Streptophyta; Magnoliopsida; Brassicales; Brassicaceae
Source: RNAcentral